CGCGUAGGCGGCCUCCUAAGUCGGACGUGAAAUCCCUCGGCUUAACCGGGGAACUGCGUCCGAUACUGGAGGGCUUGGAUCCGGGAGAGGGAUGCGGAAUUCCAGGUGUAGCGGUGAAAUGCGUAGAUAUCUGGAGGAACACCGGUGGCGAAGGCGGCAUCCUGGACCGGCAUCGACGCUGAGGCGCGAAAGCCAGGGGAGCAAACG
RNAcentral lists this ribosomal RNA (207 nucleotides) under uncultured bacterium. RNAcentral describes it as "partial 16S ribosomal RNA". It matches the Rfam family "Bacterial small subunit ribosomal RNA", at positions 568 to 774 of the family's 1533-position model. The record is from RNAcentral.